GACGAACGCUGGCGGCGUGCUUAACACAUGCAAGUCGAACGGAAAGGCCCUGCUUGCAGGGUACUCGAGUGGCGAACGGGUGAGUAACACGUGGGUGAUCUGCCCUGCACUUCGGGAUAAGCCUGGGAAACUGGGUCUAAUACCGGAUAGGAGCCAUUUUUAGUGUGAUGGUUGGAAAGUUUUUUCGGUGUAGGAUGAGCUCGCGGCCUAUCAGCUUGUUGGUGGGGUAAUGGCCUACCAAGGCGGCGACGGGUAGCCGGCCUGAGAGGGUGGACGGCCACAUUGGGACUGAGAUACGGCCCAGACUCCAACGGGAGGCAGCAGUGGGGAAUAUUGCACAAUGGGCGCAAGCCUGAUGCAGCGACGCCGCGUGGGGGAUGACGGCCUUCGGGUUGUAAACUCCUUUCGCUAGGGACGAAGCUUUUGUGACGGUACCUAGAUAAGAAGCACCGGCUAACUACGUG
This 464-nucleotide ribosomal RNA is filed under the name uncultured bacterium. RNAcentral describes it as "partial 16S ribosomal RNA". It matches the Rfam family "Bacterial small subunit ribosomal RNA", at positions 28 to 507 of the family's 1533-position model. The record is from RNAcentral.